This 255-nucleotide ribosomal RNA is filed under the name uncultured bacterium. Its description in RNAcentral is "partial 16S ribosomal RNA". It matches the Rfam family "Bacterial small subunit ribosomal RNA", at positions 74 to 334 of the family's 1533-position model. The record is from RNAcentral.
CAAACUAAAGAUGGCGACCGGCGCACGGGUGAGUAACACGUAUCCAACCUGCCGAUGACUCGGGGAUAGCCUUUCGAAAGAAAGAUUAAUAUCCGAUAGUAUAUUAAAACCGCAUGGUUUUACUAUUAAAGAAUUUCGGUUAUCGAUGGGGAUGCGUUCCAUUAGUUUGUUGGCGGGGUAACGGCCCACCAAGACUACGAUGGAUAGGGGUUCUGAGAGGAAGGUCCCCCACAUUGGAACUGAGACACGGUCCAA